GGAGGAUUCGCCUAGUGGCCUAGGGCGCACGCUUGGAAAGCGUGUUGGGGGCAACUCCUCAGGGGUUCGAAUCCCCUAUCCUCCGCCA
RNAcentral lists this transfer RNA (88 nucleotides) under Streptomyces aurantiacus. Its description in RNAcentral is "tRNA-Ser". It matches the Rfam family "tRNA". Rfam says of the family: Transfer RNA (tRNA) molecules are approximately 80 nucleotides in length. Their secondary structure includes four short double-helical elements and three loops (D, anti-codon, and T loops). Lineage: Bacteria; Bacillati; Actinomycetota; Actinomycetes; Kitasatosporales; Streptomycetaceae. RNAcentral also lists the same sequence under 11 other names. The record is from RNAcentral.